RNAcentral lists this ribosomal RNA (449 nucleotides) under uncultured bacterium. RNAcentral's name for it is "partial 16S ribosomal RNA". It matches the Rfam family "Bacterial small subunit ribosomal RNA", at positions 29 to 523 of the family's 1533-position model. The record is from RNAcentral.
AGCGAACGCUGGCGGCAGGUCUAACACAUGCAAGUCGAACGAAGCCUUCGGGCUUAGUGGCGGACGGGUGAGUAACACGUGGGAACGUACCCUUUGGUUCGGAACAACUCAGGGAAACUUGAGCUAAGACCGGAUGAGCCCUUAGGGGGAAAGAUUUAUCGCCGAAAGAGCGGCCCGCGUUAGAUUAGCUAGUUGGUGAGGUAAAGGCUCACCAAGGCAACGAUCUAUAGCUGGUCUGAGAGGAUGAUCAGCCACACUGGGACUGAGACACGGCCCAGACUCCUACGGGAGGCGGCAGUGGGGAAUCUUGCGCAAUGGGCGAAAGCCUGACGCAGCCAUGCCGCGUGAAUGAUGAAGGUCUUAGGAUUGUAAAAUUCUUUUACCAGGGACGAUAAUGACGGUACCUGGAGAAAAAGCCCCGGCUAACUUCGUGCCAGCAGCCGCAGUAA